AUCUAACUCGCUAUGUGGUAUAAUGGUAAUAGAUAGAAUAUAACAAGGAAGUGGGUCAGAAUCCUACACAGUGCCGCUACGGUAUUUGCAUUUAUGCAUAAGUCCGAUACUUGUAUCUUAGUUUUGCUCCGG
RNAcentral lists this non-coding RNA (132 nucleotides) under Clostridiales bacterium. The record is from RNAcentral. Lineage: Bacteria; Bacillati; Bacillota; Clostridia; Eubacteriales.